GGGUGCGAUCAUACCAGCACUAAUGCACCGAAUUCCAUCGAAACUUCAAAGUUAAGCGCCUGAGCGAGAAUAGUUCUAAGAUGGGUUUGUCCUAUAACUUUCAUAGACACAAGCU
This is a non-coding RNA of Cephalotus follicularis, 115 nucleotides long. NCBI's taxonomy places the organism in Eukaryota, Viridiplantae, Streptophyta, Magnoliopsida, Oxalidales, Cephalotaceae. The record is from Rfam.